This 311-nucleotide ribosomal RNA is filed under the name uncultured bacterium. Its description in RNAcentral is "bacterial SSU rRNA". It matches the Rfam family "Bacterial small subunit ribosomal RNA", at positions 28 to 334 of the family's 1533-position model. The record is from RNAcentral.
GAUGAACGCUGGCGGCGUGCUUAACACAUGCAAGUCGAACGGAGUUGGAUGAAACCUAGUGAUUCCAACUUAGUGGCGGACGGGUGAGUAACGCGUGGGUAACCUGCCUCACACUGGGGGAUAACAGUUAGAAAUAGCUGCUAAUACCGCAUAAGCGCACAGUACCGCAUGGUACGGUGUGAAAAACUCCGGUGGUGUGAGAUGGACCCGCGUCUGAUUAGCUAGUUGGUGAGGUAACGGCCCACCGAGGCGACGAUCAGUAGCCGGCCUGAGAGGGUGAACGGCCACAUUGGGACUGAGACACGGCCCAA